GGGGAUGUAAAGGUCUCGACGUGCAUGGUUGUAUCAUGAAUAGCGAGCCGGUGUGUCAUCUGACCGUAAAACGGUGAAACUUUCAAAUUAAACGCAAAAGAAAACAAUUUUGCUUUAGCUGCCUAAUCGCAGCUAACGUCUCGCCUCGCUACUCCUGCGGGCUUGGUGUAGACGUCACUUAGCGGGAUACUAUAAGGCUUUUGCCUAAGGGCCUUAUGGGAAACUCCUAGGCUGGAACAGUGUAGUUUGUCCUUGUACGAUAGCUGUUUGAGACAUAAAACAAGGUCUGCGCUCGGAGAAGUUCGUGGGGCAGUAUGUGCGGACAGGAGUUCGACUCUCCUCAUCUCCACCA
RNAcentral lists this transfer-messenger RNA (352 nucleotides) under uncultured Megasphaera sp. It matches the Rfam family "transfer-messenger RNA". Rfam says of the family: Bacterial tmRNA, also known as 10Sa RNA or SsrA, is named for its dual tRNA and mRNA-like properties. Its role is to liberate the mRNA from a stalled ribosome. The record is from RNAcentral. Lineage: Bacteria; Bacillati; Bacillota; Negativicutes; Veillonellales; Veillonellaceae.